Ictidomys tridecemlineatus (thirteen-lined ground squirrel) is the source of this 1039-nucleotide non-coding RNA. The record is from RefSeq and is a predicted model, not a curated record. Lineage: Eukaryota; Metazoa; Chordata; Mammalia; Rodentia; Sciuridae.
GGUAUAACCCUCCUCCAUAGUUGUCUCAGUAAUGGUGGUGGAAAAUCUUCUGUAAGACAAGCCAUGUAAGAACUCUCAGCUCUUCUGUCAACAUAUUACUCUCCAAGUAUGAGCUCCGAGUAUCAAAUUGAUCAUUGUAGCUUGCCAUCAGUGGGAAAAGUGCACAGCAACUUCAGCUGGAAUUUCAGAGCCAGUGUGAUGGAAAGCCGCCAGAGGGGUAUCUGGACUUCUGAAGAGAGACUCCUGGGAAGAGCAACUCUAGAAUUGCCUCCUAAACAUCAGUUCAUGGGACUAAAUUGCAUAAAUGACCUGAGGAACAUGGUUUAAAGCAUGCAUCCUAUAGAGACUGAUCCUUUGGCCUUCAUACCCAAAUGUGAAGAAAAUCACAUUUCCCCUCACGGUCUGAAGAAGAGUCUCAGAGAUUCAGCUGACCCAGAAUUGCUUUGUAAUGGUCAGUCUGGGCCAGACAUCUUGAAGAAUAGUCAAGGAUUGUCUUUACUAUUUACUCAUACAAUGGCACAUAGGCACGGAUGGAUGAAGAAAUAAAUACUAUUUUCUAAUCAACCAUCUCUCAGCAGGAAUGCGGCCAUGACAACAGUGCUUUGAAGGAACAGUUCCCUUUAUCAGCAAAGUAGGAGGACCUCUUUGGUCUUUAUGGUGACCCUAUCCUAGAGGUUCUUCCUUUACUGUUGAUGGUAUCCUUUGCUGUGCAUGAGCUUCUUAGUUUAAUAUGAUCCCAUUUGUAUGUUUUUACUUUUACUGCCUAUGCUUUUGGAAUUCUAGCCAAAAAAUCAUUGCCCAUAGCAAUGCCCUGAAUUUUUCCCCUAUAUUUUCCUAUAGUAAUUUUAUGGUUUCAGGUCUUUCAUUUAAGUUUUUGAUCUAUUUUAUGUUGACUUUUGUGUAUGGCAGGAGAAGGGAUCUAUUUUCAUUUUUCUGCAUGUGUGUAUUCAGUUUUGCUUUCUUUUGUUCUUUCAAUGUGCCAGAGGAGAUUAAAAUAUGGAAAGCUAUUAUUAGUUAUACAACCAGAGGGCAUAUCAUC